GAUGAACGCUGGCGGCGUGCCUAAUACAUGCAAGUCGAGCGAACAGACGAGGAGCUUGCUCCUCUGAUGUUAGCGGCGGACGGGUGAGUAACACGUGGAUAACCUACCUAUAAGACUGGGAUAACUUCGGGAAACCGGAGCUAAUACCGGAUAACAUGUUGAACCGCAUGGUUCAACAGUGAAAGACGGUCUUGCUGUCACUUAUAGAUGGAUCCGCGCCGCAUUAGCCAGUUGGUAAGGUAACGGCUUACCAAGGCAACGAUGCGUAGCCGACCUGAAGGGGUGAUCGGCCACGCUGGAACUGGGAGACGGUCCAGACUCCUACGGGAGGCAGCAGUAGGGAAUCUUCCGCAAUGGGCGAAAGCCUGACGGAGCAACGCCGCGUGAGUGAAGAAGGUCUUCGGAUCGUAAAACUCUGUUAUUAGGGAAGAACAAAUGUGUAAGUAACUAUGCACGUCUUGACGGUACCUAAUCAGAAAGCCACGGCUAACUACGUG
Molecule: ribosomal RNA, 497 nt
Filed under: uncultured bacterium
Lineage: Bacteria
Description: partial 16S ribosomal RNA
Rfam family: Bacterial small subunit ribosomal RNA
Source: RNAcentral